RNAcentral lists this ribosomal RNA (510 nucleotides) under uncultured bacterium. RNAcentral describes it as "partial 16S ribosomal RNA". The record is from RNAcentral.
GGAGUUAGCCGGUGCUUCUUCUGCGAGUAACGUCACAGAUGUAAGGUAUUAACUUACACCCUUUCCUCCUCGCUGAAAGUGCUUUACAACCCGAAGGCCUUCUUCACACACGCGGCAUGGCUGCAUCAGGGUUUCCCCCAUUGUGCAAUAUUCCCCACUGCUGCCUCCCGUAGGAGUCUGGGCCGUGUCUCAGUCCCAGUGUGGCUGAUCAUCCUCUCAGACCAGCUAGGGAUCGUCGCCUAGGUGAGCCUUUACCUCACCUACUAGCUAAUCCCACCUGGGCUUAUCCAUCAGCGCAAGGCCCGAAGGUCCCCUGCUUUCCCCCGUAGGGCGUAUGCGGUAUUAGCAGUCGUUUCCAACUGUUAUCCCCACAAAUGGGCAAAUUCCCAGGCAUUACUCACCCGUCCGCCGCUCGUCAUCUUCAAAAGCAAGCUUUUGAAAUGUUACCGCUCGACUUGCAUGUGUUAGGCCUGCCGCCAGCGUUCAAUCUGAGCCAUGAUCAAACUCUGA